RNAcentral lists this non-coding RNA (1381 nucleotides) under Vibrio nereis. RNAcentral's name for it is "Bacterial large subunit ribosomal RNA". It matches the Rfam family "Bacterial large subunit ribosomal RNA", at positions 1516 to 2870 of the family's 2925-position model. Lineage: Bacteria; Pseudomonadati; Pseudomonadota; Gammaproteobacteria; Vibrionales; Vibrionaceae. The record is from Rfam by way of RNAcentral.
GUGCGUAGGCUUGAGAGUUAGGUAAAUCCGGCUCUCUAUAAGGCUGAGACACGAUGUCGAGCAUCUACGGAUGUGAAGUCAUUGAUGCCAUGCUUCCAGGAAAAGCCUCUAAGCUUCAGAUUGUAAGGAAUCGUACCCCAAACCGACACAGGUGGUCGGGUAGAGAAUACCAAGGCGCUUGAGAGAACUCGGGUGAAGGAACUAGGCAAAAUGGUACCGUAACUUCGGGAGAAGGUACGCUCUUGACGGUGAAGUCCCUCGCGGAUGGAGCUAUUGAGAGUCGCAGAUACCAGGUGGCUGCAACUGUUUAUUAAAAACACAGCACUGUGCAAAAUCGUAAGAUGACGUAUACGGUGUGACGCCUGCCCGGUGCCGGAAGGUUAAUUGAUGGGGUUAGACUUCGGUCGAAGCUCUUGAUCGAAGCCCCGGUAAACGGCGGCCGUAACUAUAACGGUCCUAAGGUAGCGAAAUUCCUUGUCGGGUAAGUUCCGACCUGCACGAAUGGCGUAAUGAUGGCCACGCUGUCUCCACCCGAGACUCAGUGAAAUUGAAAUCGCUGUGAAGAUGCAGUGUACCCGCGGCUAGACGGAAAGACCCCGUGAACCUUUACUACAGCUUGGCACUGAACAUUGACCCUACAUGUGUAGGAUAGGUGGGAGGCUUUGAAACCGGUACGCCAGUAUCGGUGGAGCCGACCUUGAAAUACCACCCUUGUAGUGUUGAUGUUCUAACUUAGCCCCAUUAUCUGGGGUGAGGACAGUGCCUGGUGGGUAGUUUGACUGGGGCGGUCUCCUCCCAAAGAGUAACGGAGGAGCACGAAGGUGGGCUAAACACGGUUGGACAUCGUGUGGUUAGUGCAAUGGCAUAAGCCCGCUUGACUGCGAGAAUGACAAUUCGAGCAGGUGCGAAAGCAGGUCAUAGUGAUCCGGUGGUUCUGAAUGGAAGGGCCAUCGCUCAACGGAUAAAAGGUACUCCGGGGAUAACAGGCUGAUACCGCCCAAGAGUUCAUAUCGACGGCGGUGUUUGGCACCUCGAUGUCGGCUCAUCACAUCCUGGGGCUGAAGUCGGUCCCAAGGGUAUGGCUGUUCGCCAUUUAAAGUGGUACGCGAGCUGGGUUUAGAACGUCGUGAGACAGUUCGGUCCCUAUCUGCCGUGGGCGUUGGAAGAUUGAAGGGGGCUGCUCCUAGUACGAGAGGACCGGAGUGGACGAACCUCUGGUGUUCGGGUUGUGUCGCCAGACGCAUUGCCCGGUAGCUAAGUUCGGAAUCGAUAACCGCUGAAAGCAUCUAAGCGGGAAGCGAGCCCUGAGAUGAGUCUUCCCUGACCCCUUGAGGGUCCUAAAGGGUUGUUCGAGACUAGAACGUUGAUAGGCAGGGUGUGU